RNAcentral lists this ribosomal RNA (492 nucleotides) under uncultured bacterium. RNAcentral's name for it is "partial 16S ribosomal RNA". It matches the Rfam family "Bacterial small subunit ribosomal RNA", at positions 29 to 507 of the family's 1533-position model. The record is from RNAcentral.
AGUGAACGCUGGCGGUAGGCCUAACACAUGCAAGUCGAACGGCAGCACAGUAAGAGCUUGCUCUUACGGGAGGCGAGUGGCGGACGGGUGAGGAAUACAUCGGAAUCUACUUUUUCGUGGGGGAUAACGUAGGGAAACUUACGCAAAUACCUCAUACGACCUACGGGUGAAAGCAGUGGAUCUUCGGACCUUGCGCGAUCGAAUGAGCCGAUGUCGGAUUAGUUAGUUGGGGGGGUAAAGGCCCAUCAAGGCGACGUUGCGUAGAUGGUCUGAGUGCAUGAUCGGCCACAGUGUAAGUAAGACACGGUCCAUGCUCCUACGGGAGGCAGCAGUGUGGAAUAUUGGACGAUGGGCGCAAGCCUGAUCCAUCCAUACCGCGUGGGUGAAGAAGGCCUUCAGGUUGUAAAGCCCUUUUGUUGGGAAAGAAAACCAGCAGGUUAAUACCCCGCUGUUCUGACGGUACCCAAAUAAUAAGCACCGGCUAACUUCGUG